GCCCCGCCCGAGGGAACGCCCCAGAAAAACAUGGCUGACUGAGUGUGGCGGUGUGGGGGGAGUCCGUACCGUACCGGGCCUUGGCCCACUGACACAGUCUGGAUCCCCUGUCAGACCCCCUCUCCCCAUCCUCGGCGUCUGUCCCCUGCCUUUUGGUGUCCACGAGAUGCUGGUCCACGUAGGAAAGGAGGAUCAGGCCCAGUUCUGGAAGCUGGAUGUCGCCUACAACAUUAGUAACCCUGAAGUGAGGAAGCAACGUGUAAACAGUACUCUUCCAAAUCACCAUCUGUGGAAAGGAGCGCCAUACAAUCCAUGCAAGAAAAUUGUGAGAACAUUCUUCUCCCAAUGUGUUGCUUAUAUAUUUCCAAUCUUAUGAUAAAAGUGGACACUGCACUUUUUGCCUGGAUUAAAUUGAAAUUCUCACCCUGCAGUUUCUUAUUUGGAAUGUUCAUUUUGUCACAUGGAUCAGCUAGGUAUGCUAUAUCUCCACAUAAAAGUUCAAUUUUCUUUCCCAAGAUCUUGCCAACUUUGAGCAAAAAUUCAACAACAAUGUCAAAAAGAUUAAAGAAAUGUUUUAACUAGCAAGCUUUUGACAGCCAAUGCACAUCAAUGUGAAGAAGCAAGUGUUCAAACCCUUCAUUGUUAUCUUGGCGUAAAUGGUGAAAUAUUUUGCUGUUUAACGGAUGAGCUUUAGUUAUUACAGGAGUCAUCCUCAAAAAAAGUCGCUGGCUGAGGUGUUUGGCUGUGAAAUGUUAUCGACGAAUUACACAAUCGAUUGCUAACAGAUUUGGAAUUACUUUUCUCAUAAAUGCCACUCAACCAGCAUAGUGACCUGUCAUAUAUGGUGCUCCAUCUGUUACGUAAGAAAUCAUGUUCCUAAUUGAAAACUUUUAUCCUCAAUAUACAUUUUGAUCUCGUCGUAGAUUGAUUCUCCGUUGAUACUGUUUUUAACAUUUUACAAAAGAGAAUCUCUUCAUAAGUUUCUCCAUGUUUGAUAAAUCAUAGAUAUGCUAUUAGCAAUGCCUUGUUGUCUCACACAGUUGACUCAUCUAGUUUUAUCCCAAAUUCUGUUUUCUGUUUUAUGCAUGGUUGAUUAUCCAUGUCUUCACUCAUUUCAUUAAUACAAUGAGCUUCAGUUAUUACUCAGAGGAAUUGAUUUUAAAAUACUGGAAUCCAUUUUGAGAACAGUGCUGAGCACUUCUGAUACAGCAGGCAUUGUUAAUCUUUCACUAAUUGUAUGAGAUAUUCCACACUUCCCUAUUAUUUUGGAAAUAUUAUAAGAAGCAAUAAGACCACUAUCAAAGUCACUUUUAUUUUUCUUGGUAAAUGACUCCAGUGUGCAACUCUUUUCCAAUGUUUCUUUCAUCUUCUGGAACUGAGUACUAUAAUACCAUAAGUAGCUUCUUCAGGAUGUCUUUUAAGGAAGUGUUUCUGCAACCUGGAUGGCUUCAUGGUUCAUUAGAGAGACAAUAUUACAAAUAAGACACAUGGGGUGUGGCUAAUCUGAUGGGAAUGGAAUAAAACCAAACUCCAGGUCUGUAACAUUGCAUUAAUGUUUCCUAGCAGGAUUAGAGUACAAGGUUUCACCACCUUCGGACUCAUAGAGAUCACGCCAUGUGUGAUUAUCCAUUAUUAACCGGACUACAUUAAAAUAAAAAAUUAACACAAAAUGGGAAUGCCUAUCGGAUGUUGACAACAGCAGUGAGUUAACAUGGUUGGUCAGUUCAAAAGCCUCGUUAGGGUGUCACUUACUAACUCUCCAUUGACUUCUAUUUCCCCUAACACCAUCUUGGGACACAUAACCGUCCCCUUUGAGGGGGGACCGGUACUGCCCCCAUUGGGAAUCACUGCCUUAAGUCCUGAUCUAGGACUGCAUAACUCUUUGCACUUCCAGUUUCUUAAUUCUCUGCCCAGUUAGAAAAUGCUCUACACUUUUAUUCUUCCCACUAACCACAAACAUCAUCGAGUAACACACGACAUAAUCGUGUUCUAUCUGGCACAUACACCCAUGACCAACACACUCAUUGACACACACCCACUAUCAGAUUGUAGCAACCUACUGUCCAUUGUCUGGUCACACUCAUUCAAGAGCUCACACCAACCUGUGUGCACCAGAGGUAUCCACUAACCCACACCCAUCAACAAUAUGCACCAACUGACAUCAGAUGUCUGCCCUAACCGACCGUCGACCAACAACACACCUUUCAGCUCUACAUGCUGAAGCAUUUUCUUCUGGAAUGGAACAGGUUUCCAGUGAUCAUCUGCAUUUAGUGUUUUGCACAGAAUCUGUCACUAGCCAGAAGAUAUGUAACCACUGAUUUUGGAAUGGAUUACUUUAAAUGCUUGGUUUCAAUGUGUGGUUCUGGUAAUUUCAAACUAUUUAGGGAUGUAGUUCCAUUUGAUUUAAAGUAUAGACCUGACAUGAUCACCCCCAUGAGAUCAUAGUAUUGUUACAAACACCUAGUUUACCAGCUACAGUUGUUAUUCUGUAGAUUAACCAAACUGAUUUUUGUAGUUUUGGUUUUACACUUACCAGAUGUGCCAAUGGGGGAGCCACAAAGUAGAUAGUAUUGAUUCCAUCUGGAGGUGGGAGAAGUGAAGCUUUUACCUUGGACAUAUUGAUCUGGCAGGAGGCAGUGGAAGGCUUGCUACAAGGACAUUUCAUGUCCUUGAUGUGAGGGUGUUCACACCAGUGCAUUUAUCAGGAAAUUUCUCUGCACUUUGUUUGUAUAAUAACAUGGCCCUCUGCCAGCCCCAAUUACAUCCCUCUCUAGUUUGUGUCCCAGCCAAGCUCUGCACUGCUUUGAGCAAUCAGGCCCUCCUUCCCAAAAUACACAGCCAUUUUCGCUCUCACGACUGGCGUCCAGGAGCUGGAAAACACACACUACAUAUAACAUUACAUAGAAGGGUGUUUAUAACAUUACAUAGAUGUUACAUAUAACAUAACAUCUGUUCUCCUUCAACUCAUCAGGGCACCAGGCAGUGAUGGCUGCCCAGGUCAGAUCUUUCGGUUGUAUCUGGGUCUGAAUACAAGAUGCCUGGGGUAUUUCAGGAUUUUUCUGUUUUUAUCAGAGGCCUCUCUGGUCAAGGUUGCCACAGCUGAUAGUAUCUUUUUAUCGUUGUUGAGGUUCAAAUCAAUGAAUUCAAUAUAGAUUCAAACCAAAACUCUUCAAAUGAGGUACUUAAACAGAUGAGGCAGCAACUUUGGCAAGAAUGAGUUGCCUGUAGAAGACAUUUUAUAGAACUGGGUGAGGUUUGGUGUGUGAUAAAGGCAGAAGUAAAAGGUAAUCACAGAGAGUCAGAACAGAAACUGUUUAGUUAUCUAAGAUGCUGAGCUCAGUACUGAGCCUGUACUGUAUCAGUACUGUGCCCAGAUGGAAGAUGAAAUGCUGUUCCUUGAGCUUGGGUUAGACUUUGUUGAAAAGGUGUUGGAGAUAGCAACAGAGGUUGGAGUAGGAGUGAGAGGGAGAAUUGACAGGUCAGAUCAUGCAAACACUUCAGCAAAGUGGUUAUAAUCUGUGUUUGCUCUCUCCAUCCAAGAGGAGAUCUCAUCCCUUAGCUGACCGCCCAACCCCUAUCAGUAGACCAUCCUUUGCUUUUUGCAGAGUGAUGGCACCAUCAAAUAUUUCUCCCUUUUCCUCAGCCCCUUCAUUGGCAUUCUCAUGGACUGAUUGACUUCUCAAACCAACCACUUCUAUUCCAUUCCAUACAACACCUUCCAACAAAACACAGAGGAAACCUCCCCACCGUACAAAUAAAACAGUAAUGUAUUUGUGCUUUUACACUUUUGUUCACAGUUUAUGAUGCAGAUUCCUCCACGAUGGGACAGUCCUCUCUUCUCACUGCUGCCAUCAAGAAGAAGGUACAAGAACCUCAAGACUCACACCACUAGGUUCAGGAACAUUUAUUAGCCUUAAACCAUCAGGGUUCUGAACCAAAGGGGAUAACUUCACUCAACUUCACACCCCAUCAUUGAAAUGUUCCCAUAACCACUGGACUCUCUUUCACGGCUCUUUAUCUCAGGUUCUUGAUAUUUAUUGCUUACUUAUAUUAUUGUUUCUUCUUUAAGCAUUUGCAGUUUGUUGUCUUCUGCACUCUGGUUGAACGCCCUAGUUGGACAGCCUUUCAUUGAUUCUAUUAUAGCUACAGAUUUGUUGAAUAUGCUCAUGAGAAAAUGAAUCCCAGGUUGUAUUUGGGGAUAUACAAUAUACGUACUUUGAUAGUAACAUUUACUUUGAACUUUGGAACAUCUCUGUUCAGAAUGCAAGUGUGACCUCAGGCUACCAGAUACUGGUAGCUUUAAUUCUCCAUCCUGGUAUCUUCGUUCUCUUAGAUUCUUAGUGGAGGUUAAUGUAAGUUGAAAGAAAAGUAUAUCAGCAUCUUAUUGGUCACCUCAGCCUUCCAGACUCAUCAAUAUGUCCAACAAUUUUAAAGUAUUGAUUCUUCAAGUCAUAGAAUACUACAGCACAGUAACAGGCCCCUCAGCCCAUCUAGUCCAUGCCAAGCUGUUAUACUGUCUAGUCCAAUUGACCCGCAUCUGGAACAUGACCCUCCAUACCCCUCCCAUCCAUGUAGUUACUUCUGCUGACUUCUCAUUCCACAUUCUCACCACCCUCUGAGUGAAGAACAUUCCCUCAGCAUCCCCUUAAAUAUUUCACCUUUCACCAUUAACCUAAAACCUCUAGUUCUAGCCUCACCCAACCAGAUGGAAAAAGUCUGCUUGCAUUAACUCUCUGUAUAAUUUUGUAUACUUCUAUCAAAUCUCCCCUCAUUUUCCCAUGCUCCAGGGAAUAAAUUCAACUUUUCCCUAUAAAGCAGCUCCCCAAGUUCCAGCAACAUUCUUGUAAAUUUCCUCUACUCUUUCAAUCUCUAUUGAUAUCUUUCCUGUGAGUAGGUGACCAAAACUGCACACAAUACUCCAAAUUAGGCCUCAGCAAUGUCUAACACAGCUUCAACAUAACAUCCCAACUUCUGUUCCCUAUAUUUUUAUUUAUGAAGGUCAAUGAGCCAAAAGCUUUCUUUACAACUCUGUUUGUGACACCACUUUCAAGUAAUUAUGGACCUGUUUUCUCAGACCCCUCUGUUCUACCGUUCCUCAAUGCCCUACCAUUCCCCGUGUAAGGUCAACCCAGUUGGUCCUAUUGAAGUGCAAAACCUCACACUUGUCUGCAUUCAAUUCCAUCUGCCAUUUUUCAGCUGGUGCAGAUUCCUCUGAAAGUUUGAUAGCCUUCCUUGCUGUCCAUUACACCAUCUGUAAAUUUGCUGAUUCAGUUUAUCACAUCCUCAUCCAGAUCAUUGAUAUAGAUGACAAUCAUCAACAAACAUAGCCCCAAUCCCUGUAUAACACUACUAGCAACAAGCCUCCAGUCAGAGAGGAACCGUCCACAACCACUCCCUGGCUUUUCCCACUAAGCCAAUGUUGAAUCAUUCUAAAUGCCAAAUGACUUAACCUUCUGGCCCAGCCUCUCAUGCAGGACCUUGUCAAAGGCCUUGCUAAAGUCCAUGUGGAUAGGGUUUCCACCCCCUCCCAUUUCCUUCAACAACCUUCUUGAAAAGUUUGGUUUGACAUGACCUAACAUGUACAAUGCCACAUUGACUAUUCCUGUCUGUCCAAAUCUGUCCCUUAGAACAGGUUCCAACAAUUUACCCUUGACUGAUGUCAAUCUCUCUAGCCUAUAAUUUCCCAGUUUAUUGAAGUUUUUCUUCAGCAACGAAACAUUAACCAACACUUCACCCAUGGCUAAGCAUGUUUUAAACAUUUCAGCAAGCGUCACAACAGUUUCCGCAUUAGCCUACCACAAGAUCUGAUGGGAAUCUUUCUGAAGCCCUGGGGAUUUAUUCACCUCAAGACAGCAGGUACCUCAUCCUCUAUAAUCCAUCUGCUUCAUGAGCUCAAUACUCCUUUCUCUCAGUUCUAUGUUCUGUCCAUCAGAAAAAGUGGGAUCUCCCAGUGACCACCCAUUUUAAUUCCACUUCCCAUUCCCAUUACGAUAUGUCAGUCCAUGGCCUCCUCUAUAAUCCAUCUGUUUCAUGAGCUCAAUACUCCUUUGUCUCAGUUCUAUGUUCUGUUCUGUCCAUCAGAAAAAGUGGUAUCUCCCAUUUUAAUUCCACUUCCCAUUACGAUAUGUCAGUCCAUGGCCUCCUCUACCGUCACAAUGAGGCCACACUCAUGUUAGAGGAGCAACACCUUAUAUUCCAUCUGGGUAGCCUCCAAUCUGAUGGCAUGAACAUUGAUUUCUCAGUCUGGUAAUAACCAUUCCCCUCUUUCACCUUAUCUCCUUGACUGCCCACCACCUCCCUUUGGUGCUCCUCCCCCUUUUCCUUCUUCCCUGGCCUUGUCCUCUCCUUUCACAUUCCCCCUUCUCCAGCACUAUAUCUCGUUCCCCAAUUUCCCAGCUGUUGACUUCAACCCAACCACCCCAGUUUCACCUAUCACCUUGUUAUUCCCCUCCCCCACCUUCUUACUCUGACUCCUCUAUUUUUCUCCAGUCCUGAUGAAGGGUCUCAGCUCAAAACAUCAACUGUACUCUUUUCCAUUGAUGCUGCCUGGCCUGCUGAGUUCCUCCAACAUUUUGUGUGUUGCUUGGAUUUCCAGAUUUUCUUUUGUCUAUCUGUGUGUUUCCCAAGUAAAUACAGAUGUAAAAUCUGUUCUCGUGCCAUCAAAAUUGGGCUUACUCCAAUUUGGAAUAUCAACCUGAGGACAAGUCCUACCCUUCUCUAUAAUUUUCUUGAAAGUAAUAAAAUGAUGAUCACUAGAUACCAAA
This is a long non-coding RNA of Hypanus sabinus (Atlantic stingray), 6764 nucleotides long. RefSeq lists it as uncharacterized. Lineage: Eukaryota; Metazoa; Chordata; Chondrichthyes; Myliobatiformes; Dasyatidae. The transcript is spliced from 2 exons. The record is from RefSeq and is a predicted model, not a curated record.